This 76-nucleotide small RNA is filed under the name Flavobacterium sp. 123. RNAcentral describes it as "Flavo-1 RNA". It matches the Rfam family "Flavo-1 RNA". The record is from Rfam by way of RNAcentral. Lineage: Bacteria; Pseudomonadati; Bacteroidota; Flavobacteriia; Flavobacteriales; Flavobacteriaceae.
CACUAGCCCUGAUAGUAGCGGCAUCCUUUAUAGCCGGGGUUCGGCUGUAAAGAUAUAGCGGAUAGCAGGAAACAGC